Molecule: unclassified non-coding RNA, 364 nt
Filed under: fungal sp.
Lineage: Eukaryota; Fungi
Description: partial internal transcribed spacer region
Rfam family: Eukaryotic small subunit ribosomal RNA (bases 1-46)
Source: RNAcentral
AAGUCGUAACAAGGUUUCCGUAGGUGAACCUGCGGAAGGAUCAUUAACACGUAUCCAACGUAAAAACAACCCUGUGAACCUUCAAACGUGAUCGCCUAGCAAUCCCUGGUAAAUCAUUGUUGACCAGCUAUUGAGUCAGGGACCUCUAGGCCAGCAAUCGUUUACUGCGCCAUCCUUGCGCAACCACUGACAGAUUGCUAGGAUGCCAGGCCGCUUUAUCCGAUGAUCCAUAGCAGGCCCACACGGCCGGCGACCGGGCCUCUGUGCCUUGUGCACCUAAUGACCCCAAUGUUUCUGACCCGGUGCGCUGUAACAACCGCACCACAAACUCGAACAACUGUUAACAAUGGAUAUCUUGGUUCUC